RNAcentral lists this transfer RNA (76 nucleotides) under Gammaproteobacteria bacterium. RNAcentral describes it as "tRNA-His". It matches the Rfam family "tRNA". From Rfam's summary of the family: Transfer RNA (tRNA) molecules are approximately 80 nucleotides in length. Their secondary structure includes four short double-helical elements and three loops (D, anti-codon, and T loops). The record is from RNAcentral. Lineage: Bacteria; Pseudomonadati; Pseudomonadota; Gammaproteobacteria. RNAcentral also lists the same sequence under 1 other name.
GUGGGCGUAGCUCAGUCGGUAGAGCGCAGGAUUGUGAUUCCUGUGGUCGUGGGUUCAAAUCCCAUCGUCCACCCCA